AGUGAACGCUGGCGGUAGGCCUAACACAUGCAAGUCGAACGGCAGCACAGUAAGAGCUUGCUCUUACGGGUGGCGAGUGGCGGACGGGUGAGGAAUACAUCGGAAUCUACUUUUUCGUGGGGGAUAACGUAGGGAAACUUACGCUAAUACCGCAUACGACCUACGGGUGAAAGCAGGGGAUCUUCGGACCUUGCGCGAUUGAAUGAGCCGAUGUCGGAUUAGCUAGUUGGCGGGGUAAAGGCCCACCAAGGCGACGAUCCGUAGCUGGUCUGAGAGGAUGAUCAGCCACACUGGAACUGAGACACGGUCCAGACUCCUACGGGAGGCAGCAGUGGGGAAUAUUGGACAAUGGGCGCAAGCCUGAUCCAGCCAUACCGCGUGGGUGAAGAAGGCCUUCGGGUUGGAAAACCCUGUUGUUGGGAAAGAAAAGCAGCAGGUUAAUACCCCGCUGUUCUGACGGUACCCAAAGAAUAAGCACCGGCUAACUUCGUG
This 492-nucleotide ribosomal RNA is filed under the name uncultured bacterium. Its description in RNAcentral is "partial 16S ribosomal RNA". It matches the Rfam family "Bacterial small subunit ribosomal RNA", at positions 29 to 507 of the family's 1533-position model. The record is from RNAcentral.